Balaenoptera ricei (Rice's whale) is the source of this 961-nucleotide long non-coding RNA. RefSeq lists it as uncharacterized. The record is from RefSeq and is a predicted model, not a curated record. The transcript has 3 exons. Lineage: Eukaryota; Metazoa; Chordata; Mammalia; Artiodactyla; Balaenopteridae.
CCCGCACGCGAGGUCGUCAGCCCAGGUAGACUGCGUGCCUGAGCCGCUCACUUCUCAGGAGGGUUCCGCAGACAAGUCAGACCCAGUCAGGCUCCGCCAGAUGAAGAAACUGAAGCUGAGAGUGACCGAGUCUGGACCCUACAGUAGUGAGUGGCAGAGCUGGGAUGCAAACGUACAUCUGUUUAGCCUCAAAGCCAAGGUUCUCUCCAGUGCACUGCACCCGCGCGUCAUUACUAACUACGAGGGGGGCCUGGUGUGAGGUACAGAGGCAGCGUGGGACAGUGGCUGGAGACCAGACCCUGGAGCCAGACAGCAGGAGUUGGACCCCUGCUCCACCCCGGACUGUGUGACAGCCGGCCAUCUGCAGGACCUCUCUGUGCUCCGACUUUCUCACCUAGAAAGCAGGGCUAAUCGCACUAGACUCAGGUUAUGAGGGUUCCAUAUUUUCUAAAACACUUAGAAGAAAGCUUAAGCAUGUAUACCAAGAACUACAUAAAUCCUUGUAAAAAUUUCUAAAAAUUAACCUCUCCUCUCACUGUAUUUUUUACGUCUAGAAUCUGGGGCUGAAUGUAGUCAUCAGAAAAAGUAGUAUUGUUCAGAGAUUUAAUAUGAAAACCAUUACGUAAGGAUGAAAUAUUUUAACUCUGGCCAAAGCCCAUGAGCUCAGAUUAAUGCAUUAAUUGUGCAGAAUCUAUCAUCUUCAAAGACAAAACGGCUUUUCUGAUGCUAUUUUGUGCCAGAGUACUAUAACAUGCCAAGACGAAGAACACUGGAGCCACAUUAAAGAAUAUCUACUAACUUUAAGUGUCUAAUGGAUUUUGUUACUUCAUUUUCUCAAGGGGAAUAUUGGAGAUGUUACCCCAAAUGUUUCAUCCGUGAAAGCUAGGUUUCUAGCCAAAGUCUCAGAAAAUGACUUCCUAACUAUACAUGAAUAACUUCUGUGUGUGCCUGUAUGUUGCAA